CUAUCACUUUAAUGACAACAAGUUAACAGAGUGCAUUAUUUUGUAGUUAUUAGGAAGAAUGGGUACCAUUGAAGAAAUGGGAAAAUGUUGCGUCUACGUUGCUGCGGAAGGCACCUUCAUGACUGGCAUUGACCUGCCCGUGUCUGGAGGAGCAGAGCUAGGUUAUGGACAGAAAUCACAAUAAACAACUCUUGAACUGAACAAUGGACAACUUGCAUGUUAGACUAAAUUUUAAUCUAAGUAAAGAGAAGGGAAUCAAACACCACAGCUAAAAAGAACAUAAUGAAAUUAGUAAAGUUGCAAAAUUUGGUUGCGAAAUGUUGUAAAGUCUUGUAAAGCUUGGAAAAUAUAGUCUUGCAAAGUUUGCAAAUUUUGUAUAUGUUUGUAUUACGUGCGGAAAUUGACAAAUUGUUACCAUUUUCGGCUCAAAAAUGGUAACAAUUUCCGCACGAAAUACAAACAUAUACAAAAUUUGCAAACUUCGCAAGGCUAUAUUUUCCGUAUUUUACAACAUUUCGCAACCAAAUUUUGCAAUUUUACUAAUUUUAAUAAGUUCUUUACUGGAAUUUACUUUUUUUUGCCUAGAUCACUGAAAAAUUAGUCUAACAUGCAAGUUGCCUAUUGUCACAGAAAAUUUGCUGGUGCACGCGUGGACUCGUUUUGAAGAAUUUAUAAAAUGAUCAAAUUAUUGUAACAGAAAAUAACAGUAACUCCGAAUAACAUUUUGAUUUUUAAAAAUCAAAAUGUUAUUCGGAGUUAGUGUUAUUCAGUGAGAGGUUUUCCCCAUAAUUAUUGUAAUAGAAUUAGAGAAAUUUAGUGAACGAACAUUAGUAAGAGGGGGCGUAAGAAGUAAUUAUAUUUAUGAUAUUGAAAUUAAAAUCCUGUAUAAAUGAACUCAUCAGAUGGGUCAUUUUUUAAGCCAUUUAAAACCCUCGUAGUCCGUGCUAUAUCAUGGAAUGUUUAUGUGUCUAUAAAUAAUCAUACCUCACAUGGAUUUGAACUUCUAGCGAACAGAGAAAUGCACAAUUACAAUACGCGAUAUAAGGACAAUUUAAGGCCACCUAAAGUGUCCGGGAAUUGGGGACGGCAAAGACUCGCUUAUCAGGCCAUAACAGACUGCAACAACUUGGACAGAAAGAUAAAACUAUCUACUAGUAUUUCCACAUUUAAGAGAAACUUUUUUAGCAAUCUUUGAACUUUCCCUCGUAUAAUUUUUUAAUAUUUUUCAUAGUUAUGUAGUAUAUGCACAUCUUCCUUGUAAAAUAGUUUAUUUAGUUCAGGACCUUUCUGAAAAUCACUUUGUGAGAAAG
Paramuricea clavata is the source of this 1310-nucleotide non-coding RNA. The record is from the annotation of a GenBank genome assembly. Lineage: Eukaryota; Metazoa; Cnidaria; Anthozoa; Malacalcyonacea; Plexauridae.